AGCUAGGAGUACGUGUCUGCAUGUACGGGGAGGUAACCGCGGUGCACCAGUAGUACAUUGUACAUAUAAACAAGGAGUAUCCUGGCGCAAUGGAAGCCCAGAUCAGUGCCAUCCUCCAUCACGAGGUAGAAGAAGCCUGAGGACUACCCUCGGCCGGCGAUCGACAGAGCAAGAUGAGGACGCCGCGGGGUGUCUCGUCGUCGUUCCUUGCCCUCUACGGGUUCCUUCUCCUCGUCGCCGUCUCGGUGGCCGCGACCGGCUACGCCGCUUCGCCGGGGGAGAGUUCCAACGGUUACGGCGCUGCAGCCGGUUCGAACGGCGGCGGCCAGGAGGGAAGCUACACGGUGCCGCCGUACCAGAAGUCCGUGGACGGCCUCGACGAGCGGUACUACGAGAGGUCGUGCCCGAAAAUGGAGGAGAUCGUCGGGACGGCCGUGAUGAAGGCCGUGAAAGCCGACGAGACCCUCGCCGCCAGCAUCAUCCGCCUCUUCUUCCACGACUUCGCCGUCGGGGGCGUGGACGGGUCGGUCCUGGUAGACGUGCCCGGGCAGAGCGAGAAGUACGCGGAGGCGAGCAGGACGCUGCGCGGGUUCGAGCUGAUCGAGGGGAUCAAGAAGGAGGUGGAGGCCAAGUGCCGCGCCACCGUCUCCUGCGCCGACAUCCUCACCGCCGCCGCUCGCGACGCCGCCUUCUCGGCCGGGGCGCCCUACUGGUCGCUCAAGUACGGGCGCAGGGACAGGAAGGACUACUCCAGCGCCGAGGCGGCCGACCGCGACGUCCCCAUGGGCGGCCAGCGCGUCACCGAGCUCGUCGCCUUCUUCGAUACGAAGGGUCUCAACAUCCAAGACCUCGUCGCGCUUUCCGGAGCUCACACGAUCGGGCGCGCGACGUGCGGAUCCGUGAGGCCGGGGCUGUGCAAGCGCCGGAAGGCACGCACGCUGGACCGGCAGUACGGCGACUUCCUGCAGCGCAAGUGCCGCGCCGGCGGCGACGCGGCGGAGGCGUACGUGGAGCUGGACGGCGAGACGCCCACGGCGUUCGACAACCAGUACUACAAGAACCUGCUGCACGGGAAGGGGCUGCUGGACACGGACCAGGCGCUGCUGGCGGACUCCCGGACGGCCGGGUUCGUCAAGUCGUUCGCGUACCAGAAGCCCCAGGAGUUCGCCCACCAGUUCGCCAAGUCCAUGCGCCGCCUCGGCGAGGCGCAGGUGCUCACCGGGAACGAGGGCGAGGUCCGCCGCAAGUGCUCGGCCGUCAACUACUAAUGAACCAUCGUCAUGCACGACCGAUCGUACUAUUUCAGGCUUGUUGGGGGCCAUGCAUGUCCGACAGUGUGGGCUGCGAGCUAAACGUUUUUUUUGGGGGAACCAUGUGUAUUUUGUGAUACUACCAAUGUGUGGUGAGGUUGUUGAGCAAGAGUUUUUCACGGAAGAGGUUAGUGUUGAUUUUUUUUUUCUUCUUCAGGCGACUAAUUAUCUAUGUGACGAAAUGAAACGCACGGAUUCCGUAGAAG
This 1516-nucleotide unclassified non-coding RNA is filed under the name Zea mays. RNAcentral describes it as "misc RNA Zm00001eb321880". The record is from RNAcentral. Lineage: Eukaryota; Viridiplantae; Streptophyta; Magnoliopsida; Poales; Poaceae.